This 254-nucleotide ribosomal RNA is filed under the name uncultured bacterium. RNAcentral's name for it is "partial 16S ribosomal RNA". It matches the Rfam family "Bacterial small subunit ribosomal RNA", at positions 524 to 776 of the family's 1533-position model. The record is from RNAcentral.
UACGAAGGGGGCUAGCGUUGCUCGGAAUCACUGGGCGUAAAGCGCACGUAGGCGGGCUCUUAAGUCGGUGGUGAAAUCCUGGAGCUCAACUCCAGAACUGCCUCCGAUACUGAGAGUCUUCGAGUCUGGGAGAGGUGAGUGGAACUGCGAGUGUAGAGGUGAAAUUCGUAGAUAUUCGCAAGAACACCAGUGGCGAAGGCGGCUCACUGGCCCGGUACUGACGCUGAGGUGCGAAAGCGUGGGGAGCAAACAGG